RNAcentral lists this ribosomal RNA (437 nucleotides) under Orbulina universa. Its description in RNAcentral is "SSU rRNA". It matches the Rfam family "Eukaryotic small subunit ribosomal RNA", at positions 1222 to 1527 of the family's 1831-position model. The record is from RNAcentral. Lineage: Eukaryota; Foraminifera; Rotaliida; Globigerinidae.
AAUAAUGAAUGGUCCAGGGUAGGCAAAAACUAAUAGCUCUUUUAUGAUUAUGUGAUAGGUGGUGCAUGGCCGUUCUUAGUUCGUGGAGUGAUCUGUCUGCUUAAUUGCGUUUCAAAACAACUGAUACACAGAGUCUUGGCACAGUUCAGUUUAAUGGCGUCGAGUAUCUUUGAUUUCGACAGUAGUCCAACUCGGUUCGCCAGGGUCUCUUUUGAACGCAACGGACGUGAUCGCAACCCUUUGUUGAGUGAUGUCAGCACUCUACGUCUAUCCUAGCUCGUUGAUCGCAAGUGAGAGUUGGGUGGGCAAACUCAGGGGACAGCUUCAACUAUUCUUCUUCAAACUAGAGGAAGGUUGCGGCAAUAACAGGUCUGUGAUGCCCUCAGAUGUUCUAGGCUGCACACGUGCUACAUUGAUCAGCACAAUGCGAUACAUUU